RNAcentral lists this ribosomal RNA (440 nucleotides) under uncultured bacterium. RNAcentral describes it as "partial 16S ribosomal RNA". It matches the Rfam family "Bacterial small subunit ribosomal RNA", at positions 338 to 795 of the family's 1533-position model. The record is from RNAcentral.
CCUACGGGAGACUGCAGUAGGGAAUAUUGCUCAAUGGGGGAAACCCUGAAGCAGCAACGCCGCGUGGAGGAUGAAGGUUUUCGGAUUGUAAACUCCUUUUGUUAGAGAAGAUAAUGACGGUAUCUAACGAAUAAGCACCUGCUAACUCCGUGCCAGCAGCCGCGGUAAUACGGAGGGUGCAAGCGUUACUCGGAAUCACUGGGCGUAAAGCGCGCGUAGGCGGGAUAGCAAGUCAGAUGUGAAAUCCUAUGGCUUAACCAUAGAACUGCAUUUGAAACUGUUAUUCUAGAGUAUGGGAGAGGUAGGUGGAAUGCUUGGUGUAGGGGUAAAAUCCGUAGAGAUCAAGAGGAAUACUCAUUGCGAAGGCGACCUGCUAGAACAUAACUGACGCUGAUGCGCGAAAGCGUGGGGAGCAAACAGGAUUAGAUACCCGUGUAGUC